RNAcentral lists this ribosomal RNA (292 nucleotides) under uncultured bacterium. RNAcentral's name for it is "partial 16S ribosomal RNA". It matches the Rfam family "Bacterial small subunit ribosomal RNA", at positions 505 to 796 of the family's 1533-position model. The record is from RNAcentral.
GUGCCAGCCGCCGCGGUAAUACGGAGGGUGCUAGCGUUGUUCGGAAUUACUGGGCGUAAAGCGCGCGUAGGUGGCUUUGCAAGUUAGAGGUGAAAGCCCGGAGCUCAACUCCGGAAUUGCCUUUAAGACUGCAUCGCUAGAACGUCGGAGAGGUAAGUGGAAUUCCGAGUGUAGAGGUGAAAUUCGUAGAUAUUCGGAAGAACACCAGUGGCGAAGGCGACUUACUGGACGACUGUUGACACUGAGGUGCGAAAGCGGGGGGAGCGAACAGGAUUAGAUACCCCAGUAGUCC